UCUGAGGAGACAGGGGAGAGAGCAGGAGUUCAUCAGAGCCGCUCUAUAAACUAAAAGACGAGCUCUUUCUCUUGUUGGUUCUCUCCCUUCUCCGGCCUCGUCUUAUCUAGAAGGUCUGUAACAAGGUCUUUCUCGUUGGUUCUCUCCCUCCUACGGCCUCGCCUUAUCUAGAAGGUCUGUAACAAGGUCUUUCUCGUUGGUUCUCUCCCUCCUACGGCCUCGUCUUAUCUAGAAGGUCUGUAACAAGGUCUUUCUCUUGUUGGUUCUCUCCCUCCUACGGCCUCGUCUUUUCUAGAAGGUCUGUAACAAGGUCUUUCUCUUGUUGGUUCUCUCCCUUCUCCGGCCUCGUCUUAUCUAGAAGGUCUGUAACAAGGUCUUUCUCCUGUCCUCGUCUUAUCUAGAAGGUCUGUAACAAGGUCUUUCUCCUGUUGGUUCUCUCUCUUCUACGGCCUCGUCUUUUCCAGAAGGCCUGUAGUCAAACCUCACCUUCUGAACAUUCUCCUCCUCUAGGAGGGUCAGAGGUCAUCAGAGUCCAGUCACAAUGAGGCAGCUAACACAACUCAUUCAGACUAAACACCAGGUUACUCACAGUGUGUGUGUGUCUGUGUGUGUGUCUGUCUCUGUGUGUGUGUCUGUCUCUGUGUGUGUGUGUGUGUCUCUGUGUCUCUGUUUGUGUGUGUGUGUGUGUGUGUGUGUGUGUGUGUGUGGAGAGAGACGUACCAGUAGCUUGCGCCCCGCUCCCUGCGGUCAUCUGGUUCUCGUCAUCGAACUCGAUGCGGACCCCUUUCCCAUUACCAGUGGAGACCCCACAGCCCCCGCUGCGACACAGAGAGAUGGGCACCACGCCAUACACGUACGCCAGCAUGAUGGGCACGCCGAUGCCUGGACACACACACACACACACAGAGUUAACCACCUCACACCCUGGGGAGGGACACCAGACAACCAGCAGAGACCACUGUGUCUCCUAAAAGCAGUCGGUCACUACUAGCUCAUCUAAACAACCAGCAGAGGACCACUGUGUCUCCUAAGAGCAGUCGGUCACUACUAGCUCAACUAAACAACCAGAGACCACUGUGUCUCCUAAGAGCAGUCGGUCACUACUAGCUCAUCUAAACAACCAGCAGAGACCACUGUGUCUCCUAAGAGCAGUCGGUCACUACUAGCUCAUCUAAACAACCAGCAGAGACCACUGUGUCUCCUAAGAGCAGUCGGUCACUACUAGCUCAUCUAAACAACCAGAGACCACUGUGUCUCCUAAGAGCAGUCGGUCACUACUAGCUCAACUAAACAACCAGAGACCACUGUGUCUCCUAAGAGCAGUCGGUCACUACUAGCUCAUCUAAACAACCAGCAGAGGAACACAGGGGACAUGAUGACAGAGAGUACAGUAUACUGACCACAGGGGACAUGAUGACAGACAGAGUACAGUAUACUGACCACAGGGGACAUGAUGACAGACAGAGUACAGUAUACUGACCACAGGGGACAUGAUGACAGACAGAGUACAGUAUACUGACCACAGGGGACAUGAUGACAGACAGAGUACAGUAUACUGACCACAGGGGACAUGAUGACAGACAGAGUACAGUAUACUGACCACAGGGGACAUGAUGACAGA
Oncorhynchus tshawytscha (Chinook salmon) is the source of this 1621-nucleotide long non-coding RNA. RefSeq lists it as uncharacterized. The record is from RefSeq and is a predicted model, not a curated record. The transcript is spliced from 2 exons. NCBI's taxonomy places the organism in Eukaryota, Metazoa, Chordata, Actinopteri, Salmoniformes, Salmonidae.